RNAcentral lists this long non-coding RNA (441 nucleotides) under Mytilus galloprovincialis (Mediterranean mussel). The record is from RNAcentral. Lineage: Eukaryota; Metazoa; Mollusca; Bivalvia; Mytilida; Mytilidae.
UCAGCGAUUUUAUGUAUAAAGCUAGCGGUAGAACAAAUUGAACAUGGCUGUCAUGAAAUAGUAAUGAUGAAUAUAAGUUUGAGAUCGUUUAUUAGGAAACUUUGGUAAAAAUGUUUGCAAAGUUAUUUUUUUAUAUUAUUUCAAGGUCCGUCGGGCAUGUCGUGCGUAGCUAGUAACAAAGUAGAAAGUCCGACUGCAAAAGUGGAAGGUCACAGACCUUGGACCACCGCUAAUUUAAAACCCUGCGUCCAAAUUGAAAAGAUACGAAAAUUUCGUCUUCUUUUAAAUUCAAAAUUGCCGCCAACAGUUGAACUUAUAUACGUAGUUGACUACGUAUUGUCGACAAACAAUAUUCCUACGACUUUUGCAAUUUGGGAAAUCUUAACUACUUGUCUUUAGAGAUUUUCGGCGAUUAGAUAUUUCAUACAUUUGUUCUUUGAC